RNAcentral lists this ribosomal RNA (253 nucleotides) under uncultured bacterium. Its description in RNAcentral is "partial 16S ribosomal RNA". It matches the Rfam family "Bacterial small subunit ribosomal RNA", at positions 524 to 776 of the family's 1533-position model. The record is from RNAcentral.
UACGGGGGGUGCGAGCGUUGUCCGGAAUCACUGGGCGUAAAGGGCGCGUAGGUGGCGUCGUAAGUCUGUGGUGAAAGCCCGGAGCUCAACUCCGGGUCUGCCGCGGAUACUGCGAGGCUUGAGUGCUGUAGAGGGGGGUAGAAUGCCGGGUGUAGCGGUGAAAUGCGUAGAUAUCAGGAGGAAUACCGAUGGCGAAGGCAGGUCUCUGGGCUGACACUGACGCUCAUGCACGAAAGCGUGGGGAGCAAACAGG